UGGGGUGACCGCGUACCUUUUGUAUAAUGGGUCAGCGACUUAAUGUUAGUAGCAAGGUUAACCGCAUAGGGGAGCCGUAGGGAAACCGAGUCUUAACUGGGCGAGUAGUUGCUAGCAUUAGACCCGAAACCGAGUGAUCUAGCCAUGGGCAGGUUGAAGGUUGAGUAACAUCAACUGGAGGACCGAACUCACUAACGUUGAAAAGUUAGGAGAUGACCUGUGGCUAGGGGUGAAAGGCCAAUCAAACUCGGAGAUAGCUGGUUCUCCCCGAAAGCUAUUUAGGUAGCGCCUCGGACGAAUACUACUGGGGGUAGAGCACUGUUAAGGCUAGGGGGUCAUCCCGACUUACCAACCCUUUGCAAACUCCGAAUACCAGUAAGUACUAUCCGGGAGACACACGGCGGGUGCUAACGUCCGUCGUGGAGAGGGAAACAACCCAGACCGCCAGCUAAGGUCCCCAAGUUAUCGCUAAGUGGGAAACGAUGUGGGAAGGCUCAGACAGCCAGGAUGUUGGCUUAGAAGCAGCCAUCAUUUAAAGAAAGCGUAAUAGCUCACUGGUCGAGUCGGCCUGCGCGGAAGAUGUAACGGGGCUAAGCGAUACACCGAAGCUGCGGCAAUGUCCUUAUGGAUAUUGGGUAGGGGAGCGUUGUGUAAGCUGUUGAAGGUGUGCUGAGA
RNAcentral lists this ribosomal RNA (675 nucleotides) under Salinivibrio sp. VGrn1. RNAcentral describes it as "partial 23S ribosomal RNA". It matches the Rfam family "Bacterial large subunit ribosomal RNA", at positions 589 to 1266 of the family's 2925-position model. The record is from RNAcentral. RNAcentral also lists the same sequence under 4 other names. Lineage: Bacteria; Pseudomonadati; Pseudomonadota; Gammaproteobacteria; Vibrionales; Vibrionaceae.